GAUGAACGCUGGCGGCGUGCCUAAUACAUGCAAGUCGAGCGAACAGACGAGGAGCUUGCUCCUCUGACGUUAGCGGCGGACGGGUGAGUAACACGUGGAUAACCUACCUAUAAGACUGGGAUAACUUCGGGAAACCGGAGCUAAUACCGGAUAAUAUAUUGAACCGCAUGGUUCAAUAGUGAAAGACGGUUUUGCCGUCACUUAUAGAUGGAUCCGCGCCGCAUUAGCUAGUUGGUAAGGUAACGGCUUACCAAGGCAACGAUGCGUAGCCGACUUGAGAGGGUGAUCGGCCACACUGGAACUGAGACACGGUCCAGACUCCUACGGGAGGCAGCAGUAGGGAAUCUUCCGCAAUGGGCGAAAGCUUGACGGAGCAACGCCGCGUGAGUGAUGAAGGUCUUCGGAUCGUAAAACUCUGUUAUUAGGGAAGAACAAAUGUGUAAGUAACUAUGCACGUCUUGACGGUACCUAAUCAGAAAGCCACGGCUAACUACGUG
This 497-nucleotide ribosomal RNA is filed under the name uncultured bacterium. Its description in RNAcentral is "partial 16S ribosomal RNA". It matches the Rfam family "Bacterial small subunit ribosomal RNA", at positions 28 to 507 of the family's 1533-position model. The record is from RNAcentral.